CGAAGGGGGCGAGCGUUGCUCGGAAUCACGGGGCGUAAAGCGCCCGUAGGCGGCUUUCUAAGUCAGGGGUGAAAUCCUGGAGCUCAACUCCAGAACUGCCUUUGAUACUGGAGAGCUUGAGUCCGGGAGAGGGAUGCGGAAUUCCAGGUGUAGCGGUGAAAUGCGCAGAUAUCAGGAGGAACACCGGUGGCGAAGGCGGGUCUCUGGGCCGAUACUGACGCUGAGGAGCGAAAGCGUGGGGAGCGAACAGG
RNAcentral lists this ribosomal RNA (251 nucleotides) under uncultured bacterium. Its description in RNAcentral is "partial 16S ribosomal RNA". It matches the Rfam family "Bacterial small subunit ribosomal RNA", at positions 526 to 776 of the family's 1533-position model. The record is from RNAcentral.